Non-coding RNA from Misgurnus anguillicaudatus (oriental weatherfish), 1811 nucleotides. The record is from RefSeq and is a predicted model, not a curated record. NCBI's taxonomy places the organism in Eukaryota, Metazoa, Chordata, Actinopteri, Cypriniformes, Cobitidae.
AGAGCUAAUACAGUUCCUGGAUGACAAAAGUUUGUCGCUGGUUAUGAGGGAAGCAGCAGACGAUGGAAGAGCAGCAUUGAAGAUUCUUCGGGAAUAUUAUGCUGGCAAAGGAAAGCCCAGAGUGAUUAGCUUAUACACAGAGCUAACGUCAUUGCAAAAGUCGCCCAGUGAGUGUGUUACUGAUUAUGUCAUCAGGGCUGAGACCGCAAUCACCGCUUUGAGGAACGCAGGUGAGAAUCUGAGUGAUGGACUUUUAAUAGCAAUGGUUCUGAAAGGACUUCCAGAGACAUUUAAGCCAUUUGCCAUUCAUGUUAGCCAGAGAGAUGAUUAAUUGAGUUUUGCAGAAUUUAAGACGAGGCUUCGAAGUUAUGAAGACAUGGAAAAUAUGCGGACAACCGUAUCCGAGGACAAUGUUAUGAAAGCUGGAGCGCAGCCUGGAAGAAAAAACGAUUUUGUGGGUACAGCUGUUUGUGGUGCUGGUACAAACAUUGUUUGUUUCAAGUGUGGUACAAGAGGCCACAAAGCAAGAACAUGUCAGCUUAAACAGUGGUGCAGUCAGUGUAAAAGUAACAGUCACCGCGACGCAACGUGCAGACGGGGAAGGCAGCGGGACAAUGCACAAAAAGUUUCCGCAGAGCCAAGUGACAAGGAGUAUGCUUUUCGGGCAAGCGACGCUGAGAUGCGGGUACAAACUACCAAGAGGAAAGGCCUAAUGGUGGAUGCAGGUGCAACUUCCCACAUCAUCACGGACAUCGAGAAGUUUCAGAGGUUUGACAGCAGUUUUCAGGCCAACACACAUUGCUUGGAAUUGGCUGACGGCACUCGGUGUAACGGGGUCGCAAAGCAAAGAGGAGACGCGGAGGUAUAUUUGAUUGACUACACGGGACGACGCGUCAAAGCGAUGCUGAGAAACGCGCUGUACAUCCCAGCAUAUCCACAGGACAUUUUCUCUGUUUGGGACAGGCAACCCAGUCACACUGCGAGAUGUCAUGUGACUUAAUUAAUGACUGAGUGAAAUCAUUACUAAUGUCGGCCCAAUCAGUGGCAAGAUGUAUAAAACCACGCCGUAGUAAAGAGACAGAUCGCUCAAUGGGUUCAAGUUGGAAUGUUGUCUUUCAUUCUGGUUGGUAAGGUCAGUGACUGUAACAUUGAGGGUAUUUUACAGUAUUAAACACACAUUUAAUGAUUUCAUCAGGCUUCAGAUUUUAAAAAGAAGACAAAGAAUGGCCUCUCAGCUACCGUAGUUGCAACUCUUGCGUCAUCACAACAGGGUGUUCACAGUUCAACACAUCAUCUGUUUCUGUUUAAUAAACGUUGUGCAACGGGGAUGAACCCAGCUCAGAUUUUCCCCUGACCCUGCAGGCACCAUCUCGUGAUCAUCCACCAUCGAGACUUUUGUUAAAGAGUUACUAAGCUGAUAUAUGUGAGUUUCUACAAAGAGAAAUCAUGAACUUCAGACUCUCAUCACUGAUCCUGCUGUUACACAUUCAAGGGUUCCUAACAUUGGAUAAUUUUAAUGUAACCUGUGAUGAACUGAAUAUUUGUGCUGUUAGGGGGACACUAAUGAGUGUGAACUGCGAUCACUCAAACAUCAACAUCAAAACUGUGUUCUGGUUCAGUCAGAAACAGAGAACAAACUGGAGAAACAAAGAUGAACCUGAAGAUUUGACUUUAGAUUCAGAUUACUCAGGACGAAUUGGUCAGUGGAUAACUGAAGAUUACUUAGGACUCUCAAUACAUGAUCUGAGAGAGAGAGAGACAGUGGAGAAUAUCAGCUCAUGAUCAUUAUGAAGGAUGGAGUUAAACAUCUC